This 66-nucleotide transfer RNA is filed under the name Moniezia benedeni. RNAcentral's name for it is "tRNA-Thr". It matches the Rfam family "tRNA". Rfam says of the family: Transfer RNA (tRNA) molecules are approximately 80 nucleotides in length. Their secondary structure includes four short double-helical elements and three loops (D, anti-codon, and T loops). Further hydrogen bonds mediate the characteristic L-shaped molecular structure. tRNAs have two regions of fundamental functional importance: the anti-codon, which is responsible for specific mRNA codon recognition, and the 3' end, to which the tRNAs corresponding amino acid is attached (by aminoacyl-tRNA synthetases). tRNAs cope with the degeneracy of the genetic code in two manners: having more than one tRNA (with a specific anti-codon) for a particular amino acid; and 'wobble' base-pairing, i.e. permitting non-standard base-pairing at the 3rd anti-codon position. Lineage: Eukaryota; Metazoa; Platyhelminthes; Cestoda; Cyclophyllidea; Anoplocephalidae. The record is from RNAcentral.
GGCUAUGUAGUUUAUUUAAAAUGUAGGUUUUGUAAGCCUAAGAUGAUGUUUGUAUAUUUUUAGCCA